UGGGGAAUAUUGCACAAUGGGGGGAACCCUGAUGCAGCGAUGCCGCGUGGAGGAAGAAGGUUUUCGGAUUGUAAACUCCUGUCUUAAAGGACGAUAAUGACGGUACUUUAGGAGGACGCUCCGGCUAACUACGUGCCCGCAGCCGCGGUAAUACGUAGGGAGCGAGCGUUGUCCGGAAUUACUGGGUGUAAAGGGAGCGUAGGCUGGAUCGCAAGUCAGAUGUGAAAUACAUAGGCUUAACCUAUGGGCUGCAUUUGAAACUGUGGUUCUUGAGUGAAGUAGAGGUAAGCGGAAUUCCUGGUGUAGCGGUGAAAUGCGUAGAUAUCAGGAGGAACACCGGUGGCGAAGGCGGCUUACUGGGCUUUAACUGACGCUGAGGCUCGAAAGCGUGGGUAGCAAACAGG
This 404-nucleotide ribosomal RNA is filed under the name uncultured bacterium. RNAcentral describes it as "bacterial SSU rRNA". It matches the Rfam family "Bacterial small subunit ribosomal RNA", at positions 355 to 776 of the family's 1533-position model. The record is from RNAcentral.